RNAcentral lists this non-coding RNA (81 nucleotides) under uncultured Entomoneis. The record is from RNAcentral. Lineage: Eukaryota; Bacillariophyta; Bacillariophyceae; Surirellales; Surirellaceae.
GACAAUAAUGAAUAAACAAGGUCCCCAUUUACUGGGCGACUCGUUUCGUUUUUAUGUUUUUUUUUACUUUUUCUUCUUCUC